UACGUAGGGGGCAAGCGUUGUCCGGAAUCAUUGGGCGUAAAGCGCGUGUAGGCGGUCCGGUAAGUCAGCUGUGAAAGUCAAGGGCUCAACCCUUGAAAGCCGGUUGAUACUGUCGGGCUAGAGUCCGGAAGAGGCGAGUGGAAUUCCCGGUGUAGCGGUGAAAUGCGCGGAUAUCGGGAGGAACACCAAUGGCGAAGGCAGCUCGCUGGGACGGUACUGACGCUGAGACGCGAAAGCGUGGGGAGCAAACAGG
Molecule: ribosomal RNA, 253 nt
Filed under: uncultured bacterium
Lineage: Bacteria
Description: partial 16S ribosomal RNA
Rfam family: Bacterial small subunit ribosomal RNA
Source: RNAcentral